RNAcentral lists this ribosomal RNA (489 nucleotides) under uncultured bacterium. RNAcentral's name for it is "partial 16S ribosomal RNA". It matches the Rfam family "Bacterial small subunit ribosomal RNA", at positions 30 to 507 of the family's 1533-position model. The record is from RNAcentral.
UUGAACGCUGGUGGCAGGCUUAACACAUGCAAGUCGAACGGUAACAGGAAUUAGCUUGCUAAUUUGCUGACGAGUGGCGGACGGGUGAGUAAUGCUUGGGAAUCUGGCUUAUGGAGGGGGAUAACUACGGGAAACUGUAGCUAAUACCGCGUAAAAUCUUCGGAUUAAAGGGUGGGACUUUCGAGCCACCUGCCAUAAGAUGAGCCCAAGUGGGAUUAGGUAGUUGGUUAGGUAAAGGCUGACCAAGCCGACGAUCUCUAGCUGGUCCGAGAGGAUGACCAGCCACACUGGAACUGAGACACGGUCCAGACUCCUACGGGAGGCAGCAGUGGGGAAUAUUGCACAAUGGGGGGAACCCUGAUGCAGCCAUGCCGCGUGAAUGAAGAAGGCCUUCGGGUUGUAAAGUUCUUUCGGUGACGAGGAAGGUUGAUAGGUUAAUAGCCUAUCAAAUUGACGUUAAUCACAGAAGAAGCACCGGCUAACUCCGUG